This 435-nucleotide ribosomal RNA is filed under the name uncultured bacterium. RNAcentral describes it as "partial 16S ribosomal RNA". It matches the Rfam family "Bacterial small subunit ribosomal RNA", at positions 355 to 780 of the family's 1533-position model. The record is from RNAcentral.
UGGGGAAUUUUGGACAAUGGGCGAAAGCCUGAUCCAGCAAUGCCGCGUGUGUGAAGAAGGCCUUCGGGUUGUAAAGCACUUUUGUCCGGAAAGAAAUCCUUGGCUCUAAGUACAGUCGGGGGAUGACGGUACCGGAAGAAUAAGCACCGGCUAACUACGUGCCAGCAGCCGCGGUAAUACGUAGGGCGCAAGCGUUAAUCGGAAUUACUGGGCGUAAAGCGUGCGCAGGCGGUUUGCUAAGACCGAUGUGAAAUCCCCGGGCGUCAACCUGGGAACUGCAUUGGUGACUGGCAGGCUAGAGUAUGGCAGAGGGGGUAGAAUUCCACGUGUAGCAGUGAAAUGCGUAGAGAUGUGGAGGAAUACCGAUGGCGAAGGCAGCCCCUGGCAAGUACUGACGCUCAUGCACGAAAAGCGUGGGGGAGCAAAACAGGAUUA